Molecule: ribosomal RNA, 468 nt
Filed under: uncultured bacterium
Lineage: Bacteria
Description: partial 16S ribosomal RNA
Rfam family: Bacterial small subunit ribosomal RNA
Source: RNAcentral
GACGAACGCUGGCGGCGUGCUUAACACAUGCAAGUCGAACGGAAAGGCCCUGCUUUUGUGGGGUGCUCGAGUGGCGAACGGGUGAGUAACACGUGAGUAACCUGCCCUUGACUUUGGGAUAACUUCAGGAAACUGGGGCUAAUACCGGAUAGGAGCUCCUGCUGCAUGGUGGGGGUUGGAAAGUUUCGGCGGUUGGGGAUGGACUCGCGGCUUAUCAGCUUGUUGGUGGGGUAGUGGCUUACCAAGGCUUUGACGGGUAGCCGGCCUGAGAGGGUGACCGGCGACAUUGGGACUGAGAUACGGCCCAGACUCCUACGGGAGGCAGCAGUGGGGAAUAUUGCACAAUGGGCGGAAGCGUGAUGCAGCAACGCCGCGUGCGGGAUGACGGCCUUCGGGUUGUAAACCGCUUUCGCCUGUGACGAAGCGUGAGUGACGGUAAUGGGUAAAGAAGCACCGGCUAACUACGUG